This 258-nucleotide ribosomal RNA is filed under the name uncultured bacterium. RNAcentral's name for it is "partial 16S ribosomal RNA". It matches the Rfam family "Bacterial small subunit ribosomal RNA", at positions 524 to 776 of the family's 1533-position model. The record is from RNAcentral.
UACGGGGGGAGCAAGCGUUGUUCGGAUUUACUGGGCGUAAAGGGCGCGUAGGCGGUCAGCACAAGUCAGUUGUGAAAUCUCCGGGCUUAACUCGGAAAGGUCAACUGAUACUGUGCGACUAGAGUGCAGAAGGGGCAACUAGGAAUUCGUUCGGUGUAGCGGUGAAAUGACGUAGAUAUCGAGAGGAACACCUGCGGCGAAGGCGGGUUGCUGGGCUGACACUGACGCUGAUGCGCGAAAGCUAGGGGAGCGAACAGG